This 23-nucleotide non-coding RNA is filed under the name Cricetulus griseus (Chinese hamster). The record is from RNAcentral. Lineage: Eukaryota; Metazoa; Chordata; Mammalia; Rodentia; Cricetidae.
UGAACUCCUGUUCUACACUUCCC